Molecule: long non-coding RNA, 5831 nt
Filed under: Marmota monax (woodchuck)
Lineage: Eukaryota; Metazoa; Chordata; Mammalia; Rodentia; Sciuridae
Source: RNAcentral
UCAGCAAAACAACUCUUCCCUGAUGUUUGAUGUUAUCUUUUUGGUCUGGGAGCAAUGCCUGUGCCCCUUGCCACCCAGCAGAACCACAGAGAGGAGGAAAGCUCGAUUUCUGGCUCACGGUUGUGGAGGUUCAGUCCAGGGUCCACUACUCCAGCCCUGAGGAGGGCAGAUCAUCGUGGUGGAAAGGCGCCCACGAGUGGUUGCCAGGGAGGGGGGGGGGUCAAGGGACAAAAUAGGUGAUACCCAGACCUGCCACAGGGCACCAUCUGCACUGGCCAGGCCCCACUACAGUCACCACCCAGCACAGUGGCCCUUUCAAAUUAUUAAUCCACCCAACAGAUGAAUCCACCCAUUAGGCCACAGCUCUCCUAGCCUGAUCCAUGUCACCUCUGAACAUUCCUACAUUAGCAGAAGCUUUGGGGGGACACGUCGUAUCCAAACUGUAACAAUACUGAGCAGAUUUUCAAAGGGCUCUAGGAAAAAAACACAUCACGUUUUAAUGGUACUCACUCCACAUUGAGAGCAAAAAAAGGGGAAAAUAGAGGAUUCAAUGCACAGGCGGAGGAGAGCGUGCACACACACCGGCAAGGCUGAUGAUGAAACUGUGCUCCACACACAUCCUGAUCCUGACGAAGGAAGGAGUGAGGCCUGUGGAGCCGGGACCUGGGCUGCGGGCUCAAGUGUUCCCAGGUGUCCCCGGGCUCCUCCCCAGGUGUCCCCGGGCUCCUCCCCAGGAGCUGUGUCUCUGUGACCUUCCCUGGCAACAGGGACCUGACACGUGAUUCAAUCAACUGUCUUGAGAGGGCAGGAUAUUCUCCUGGACCCUCUGGGCAGACUCAAUAUAAUCCCAUGCCCAGUGAGAUAGGUGGCUCCAGGAAGACGGAGAGGCACGGCAGAGGAGCCUCACUGCACAGCUCUGCCUCCAUUCUGUCUUUAGACCAAGGGGGGUGCAGGGGCACUGAGAAGCUGUUCCUUGAGAAUCUGUUUCUUGAGCAGCAAAUGGUGGAGGUUCGCACACCCUGGCUCCUUCCUGCUGCUCUUCUCGCUGUGACCCGGCUGCCAUGAGCCGAGCAGCCCUCGUCUGCCACCCCUUCCCACCCGCUUGCUCUGUCUCACCUCAGGCACCUAGAAAUGGGGUCUGCUGACCAUGGAUACCUGUGAAACUGCGAGCCACCGGAACCUUUUCCUUCUCCAAGCUGAACUUCUAGGUGUUUUGGUCCCAGCAAUGCAAAGCUAACCAACACAGAAAUUAGAGUUCAAAGUGGGUCGUUGCCGGGACUCACCUGACCAAGGGGUUCAGGAGUCUUUGGAACUGGCUUGGGGAGGAGUCUGGAAAAUUCCAGAGGUGCAGGCCAGAGAGGCAUCACCAUGUUGUAGGCAGACUUAAAAAGGGAAGUGCUCAUGGAACCUCCGAAGCCGAGUUUGCUGGUGGAAAUGCAGAGGGCCAAGAACGUGUUUGCUGUGGUUUAGAGGGAACAGGGCUCUACUGGAAGUGGUGUUAGAGGCCACUCAUGCUGCCCUCUGGAAAGGGACGUGUCCGCCUGCCAUCCUUGCCCUGUGACUGUGGGUGAGACAGAAUUGAAAGUGAGGAUCCAAUUAAUCCGGUGGAAGAAAUUUCAAGGUAGCCUAGCAUCUGUGUGGUGGAAUGGGUAUUGCUGCAACUUUAGCCAGGUUUACUGUGACAAUCAGGAGCAGGGAGCAGAGAGGAAGGAUUUUAAAAACUUGAGUGAUGGCCACAGAGCACAUGUAAACUCAGGAGCAGGGGUGCUCUGGCUGCCGGAGAGGUUAGGGCCAGAGAGGAGAAACCAAGUCCUCCACAUGGAGACAAAGGAAAGGUGGCUUGGGGGCACUCAGGAGGCAGCAGGCCGUCCACUGCAGGUGCCUGGGUGUAAAAGUGGAAACUCACUUGAGCACCUAGGAAGCUGAUUCCCCAGGCCCGUUUCCCCAUGCUCAGCUGACCAGGCCACCCCAGCCGUGGUCCAAGAGGCCUGGCUACUGAGCCUGCUGGCAGCAGGUCCUGGCCUCACGCCUGGGGUGUGGGUUUUGCAGGCAGAAAUGAAAACUGUGGAAGUUAUGGGCCAUGGGAACUUCCAUGGAGAUUUCAAAGGGAAGCCUGGGGCCAGGCAAGAUGUGGCAGGGCCAGAGUUCCUUUGGGCACCUCUGACAGGGCAGUCCACGCCUCUGAGGAGCAAAGCUGACCCUUCAAUGGAGAGCCUAGGAAGUUAAAGAGGUGCAGGCCGGAGAGGCAUCACCAUGUUGUAGGCAGACUUGAAAAGGGAAGUGCUCAAGGAACCUCCGAAGCCGAGAUUGCAGGUGGAAAUGCAGAGAGCCAAGAACGUGGGAGAGCUGCUGAGAACAGCUGCAGGAGUCAAGCACAGCCAACCAGAGACAGGCCACGUGAGCCACAGCAGGCCAAGCCACAGGCGUCCGGCUACCCAGGCCCUGUGGUUGGUAUCCGAGCAACCCAAGUCCAGGAUGCUGGACGUGGAGCUACAGGCCUUCAUGUAAGCCCAGUUGGGUUUUGGUCCGUUUGGUUGCAUUUCUUAUUUCUGUGCCCUGUUCUUCCCUAUUGGAACAGGAAUGCUUUCUCUGGGCAAUUGUCUUUUUUUUUCCAUGGGGGGAAAAAAGAACAUUUAUUUAUUUCCAUUGGAUUCCAUUUCACUGGCCCACUCUGUGCAGACCAUUGUGCAGGGUCUGAGAAUUCCAGUUGUUCAGAUCUGGUCUCCACCUGGCCUUGCUCCAACCUCUCUCUAUUGUAAGCAGGCAUCUCUGCUUCCAACCCAACCAAAUUAGCUGCAUUAGGUUGAGUCAGAUGCAGUAACAAACAUGUUCAAAAUCUUAGAUGUUUACUUCUUAUUCUCACUGCCCAUCUGAAACAGGUGGGAUGAGAGUCUGACCAUCUAGUCACUCAGGACCACAGGGGGACAAAGAGUUAACUGUGAAUGACAUCACCAUCUCAAACCAAGGGGAAACCAAGGGGAAACAGCAGACUGUAUUGAAGGGCUUCCAACCAAAAGGAAGCCAGGUCAUUCCUGCUCUUAGUUUAGUGGCCAAAGCAGUCACAACACCAUGCUUAAUUUGAUGGGAUUAAGAAGGGAUGCUUUCCUGUGUUUGGAAGAAGAGGAGAAACAGAACUAUUGGUAAUCACUACAAAUAUGAUCUGCAAUCCACACCCCCCUCCCUAAUGUUCUUCGUUCCCUGAUCCUGUUUUGUCCAAAUGUAAUGCAAUUGUCUUUUGAAAGCACCUCACUUGCUUUGAGUUCUGUGAGGACGUGAGUCUUGGAGGAGACUGGGCCUGGACUUUGAGCUAUGCUGAGAUGGUUAAGACUUUUGGGGACUCUCUGGGAGGUUGAGACGACAUCUCACACUGUGACAUGUGCGUUAGUUUGUAGGGCCAGUGGUAAAACCCGUGCCUUGUAUCUGGCAUGCCCUCACAAUGGUUCCAUGAUCAGACGAGUGGUCCACAGAUGAAUAAAUCUCAGAGGUGGGGCUUUAGGACACCCAGGUUGUGCGGGCUGUGACAUUCCAGGGCACAAGUCCUCAGAUGGAUUAACAAUGUGAAUGGACUGUGAGGUGAUGGCUCUAGGCAGUGGGGUUUGGCUGGAGAAGUCAGGUAACUGGGGACAUGCCCUGGGAAUGAUGACUGUCCCUGACCCUCCCAGUUCUGUCUCUCUCUUUGCGACCUGGCUGUUGUGAGUGGAACAGCUCUCUCUGCCACACCUUCUCCCCUUGUUGUUCUCAUGGCAGGCCCAGUGCAAUGGAGCUGGCUGACUGUGGAACCAGACCUCUACAACUGUGAGUCAAAGUAGAAAUUCCUCCUGCAGGUUGUUCCUGUUGAGCCUUGGGUCACAACAGUGCAAACUGACUAACCCCACCACAGGGCAGGAGGAGGCCUGAUGGACGGGAGCGCAGUCACUGUCCCUGAAAGGGCACCCUUAGCUGCACUCUGCCAUGGCUGGGGCCACGUUCCUAAGUGUAGAGGGCUCCUGAGCACCUCCCACUGUCCUGAGUGCUGGCUGCUUGGCCUGGGGGCCCCUGCUGGCCCUGGGUGCCCUGCAGGGAGGCUCGCGUCUGGCCUCACAGUGCCAUUCACAGCCCUUGCGAUGCCUGUCACACAGCGAUACACAGUGCCCCCUGUGGUGGGAGAAGUGUUCCUGGAUGUGUGGGCAGCCAUGCUGACGUGUCCUGGAAAGCCAGGUUUCCUCUUGGCCCCUGUCCGGCACCCCACCCACUCCAGGGUUCUCCCAGGAUGUUGGCAGAUCCGAUUCUGGUACUUCCCGCUAGAGAGUGAGGCUCUGGACACGGGGUCAGUGAGGCCCAGAAUCUGUGAGGGCUUUUCCAGAGCUGGGCCCAGCUCCUGCCGUGUCGACUCAGACAGGACACAGGAGACAGAGAGCCAGUUGGUCCAGGGUUUCCACACCCAGGCCAGCAGACAGCGCAGAGGAGGGGCCACAGCAUCUGCCUGGUGUGUGCAUGGUGAAGGUCCCUACAGUGGCCUGGCCUGGGAUGGGGACUUUUUCUGUCAGUGCCCAGCAUAAUUUGAGUGUGUGCCCUUGGGGGUGGAAGAGGCUGAGCCAGGUGACUGUCCCUGCUUCCUAGUAACCUGGGCUGCCGGGUGGGAGCUGCUGCACCUGGCCCUGGUGAACCGGCUCUCCGCCCUGGCCAAGCUGUUCUUUGUUCUGACUAUGGAUGCAAUAGUGCUGCGGUCAGUGAGCAUGUACGUAAAAUAUCCGAGUUUUCUCUCGAGGUGUUAUGUGAAGCUGUCAGGUUGUGCCUGCCAAUUUAAUGUCUGGAAAUACUCUCUGUGCAGGUGGGUGUAGGGCUCUGGUGCAGACUCCAGACCUUGGCCACAGGCAUGGGACGUUAUGUUCUGUGCUAAUCAGAGAUGGGUCAUGGGAAAGAUUCUUAGUGAUUUCCCAGGCAGUGUGUCCAUCCACAAAAGAGGUCAGUGUCUUGGCAUUGAUACAGGAAAGUGACCCUACCCACGUGGACUUCUUAGCAGGAGCUUGGUCACAGACAUGUCAUGUCUGAGAAGGGUCUGAGGACGUGGUGGCACUGGGCUGGGAUUAGUGUUCAUGAGGUUCUGCUGAAGGUUGAGAGGACACCCACGAGCAGGAGGGUGACCAUGACUCCCUACCCAGGACAGUACCCCUCCCACUCUGCUUGCCCGACAGAGAGCCCAGGAGGUGCAGACCAGCUCUGGGCUGGCGAGAAAUGGGAAACAGAGGCUACUCCAACAGAGCGGCCUGGACUGCACCGCCUAGUGGGUCCAGUGGGCAGCUCCCUUCAGGAGGUCCGCAGCUGAAGUGCUGACCUCAGGCAGAGCCUGCCCUGGGCCCUGGGCCUCGCUCCCCACUGUGAACACACCAUCACCAGGUCUGGGAGAUGCUCCGAAACCAACUCAAGAACAAGGUUCCUGACUGUGGCGUGGAGCGGGGGGGGUGGGAGUAAUCCUGUUUCUCGUCCUUUUUUGCGAGCAGGAAUUUUGGGGUUUCCAGGUGACAGAGGGGCACGGUGUUGAGGAGAAGGCACGGCUGGGAAGGAUGGCUCCACGGGCAUUUCCAUAGCCCAUGGGAGGGGGUUGCGCCUCACCUACGUGGGUCCCUCAUGCGGUGCUUGGAGGGCAGGCCAGUGCCCUUUUCUUUUUCUUAAAGACAGGAAGUGAUGAGAAAGGCUGCUGUCCUGCAUGGCUGGACCAUCUUGAUGGCUCCUUCACAGAUGAAGGGGCCUUCACUUGUUUGUGGGGUUGUGGGUUAUGCAUGCAGUGGUGUGAACAUCUCAUGCCGAAUUUUGCUGGUACAUGUUACUUUGUUUUUUCUUUUAUAUAAAUU